GUGUAUGGCCAUACCACCCUGAAUAAGCCCGAUCACGUCUGAUCUCAGAAGCUAAGCAGGGUCGGGCCUGGUUAGUACUUGGAUGGGAGAUCACUUGGAUAGGAAGACCAGAUGCUGUAGGUG
This 123-nucleotide ribosomal RNA is filed under the name Pteropus alecto (black flying fox). The record is from RNAcentral. Lineage: Eukaryota; Metazoa; Chordata; Mammalia; Chiroptera; Pteropodidae.